Non-coding RNA from Coturnix japonica (Japanese quail), 13922 nucleotides. NCBI's taxonomy places the organism in Eukaryota, Metazoa, Chordata, Aves, Galliformes, Phasianidae. The record is from RefSeq and is a predicted model, not a curated record.
GACAGGCCUGGUUCUCAGCUGAGCCACUGGAACAACUAUUUAUUAAUGGGGUGCGGCAUCCCAAGUGGGAAGGAAAGCAUUAGCAAGCAGCUCCUGGAGGGCAGUGGAGGAGGGAGGCAAGGGGAAUUCAGGAUAACACGGGGAAGUAGAGCAGCUGGAGAGGGCGGAUGGCAUCGGCGAGCCAAGAUGUUGAGUGAUCAAGGGCAUGAGAAAGUGAGGAGCUGUCUGAAAUGGCACCGGGGAGGUCUGAGCCUGGGGAAGGAUGGGUGCAAAGCUGUUGCCAGCCACGAAGAGAAAGUUACAGGGAAGAUGGAAAAGCAGAUACCAGAGUCAAACAGUAAGGAACUUUCUUGAACGCUUCAGAAGUGGGUGGUAUUCAAGACCCAUGAGCUCUUUUGCCUGUUGCCUUCUGGAGGGUGACCAAAGGUGAACACAAUUGAGUGCUAAUCAUAGCCAAAGAUAAAGGAGGGCUUGAAAAUGAAAGCUGCAGAGAGGAGAUGACUAAUGGCCCAGCCAUUUCAUGGGAACUGACGCGGUGUCUCGGGCUGCGAGUCGCCGGGCUGCUAUCUCCAAUUAGCCACGCAGGAGUUUAGGAUGCGGUUGUCUGGUCUCAGUGCUGGCUCUUGUGGAGGAAGGGAGUUUAGUAGAAAUGACUAAAGGUAAAUAAAUGUCCACAUCCAGUCUUGGAGGAGUUUGAUCAGAAACAAAGUGCUUUUUCUGUCUGGGGGUACAGUGUGCACAUUUCCUGGUACUGUGGAGAGCAACCACACAUGAGCAAAAGAUGCGUGUCCUGGAAGAGCUCUGAUCUUAAGGAAGUGCUGAGAGCUGCCGUAUGCCCCACACUGCACAAGGAGCUGUGGAAGAUCUGCAUUCCUCCUGGACCCAGCGCUUACUGGUGCAGAGGCUUGUGGUGGGAUGGGAGAUGGAAGAUGGAGCUGGAGGAGGUCCUGGAGAGCUGCGUCUGGAUCCAGUUUUCUGAGCCUUGAGGCCAAACCAAGGUUCAGGCAAGAAGGCACUCAGCUUCUGGGUGGUGACAAGGAACAGGACCUCCAAAGAAACACCAUUUUUUUUAAGGGAUUAAUUCAAUAUUGACCGCUUUCCCAGAGUGCCGUCCCAUUGCCAGUUCCGUGACUGAGGUCUACGACUUGACAAGAUGAGGAACAUCUGGGCCAAGGAUUGCUCUGCAAGCGGUUGAGUCCCGGGGCUUAAUGAGGCACUGCUUAUCAGCAGAGCGUGCUUAUCUGGAGCCCGCUGCCGGUGUACCUGCUCCAGCCCCAUCGUUCUUCCACCAGUUUUCUGCUUAUACCACUCAUGUCCCCCUUCAUGGAACUGGGUGACCCCUGAGAGCAGAAGGAUUAGAAGGGCUUUGUGGAGGAGUGGUGAACAUGCCAUGCUACUUUUGGGAUGGAGAAUUAGCAACCAUUUUGCCUCCAGGGAUGCAGAUUUUGAGCCUGCGAGCUGUAAUGGGAUCAGAGGUGAGGAUGCAGUACUCAGUGCCAGCCUUGCUAUCCUGCUGGGAGCAGAGCUUGUGUCCACUGCGUGAGCCAGAAGAGACAGACAAAAUCAAGUGAAUCGGACAGCAUGCAAUACACCAGCUCUGAGGUCUAGCACUGGCAGUACAGCACGCGGGGACCGGCGCUGGCGUGCACCUGGGCGCAGCUCAGAUCACCCUGCAAAACAUGCACCAGCAGACCUGGAAACCUCCAAGCCCAUGCAGCAGCUUCCCAUCGCUGCGCCAUGUCUCUGCCCUUCUGUGGGGAACACACAAGGGGUGAACAGGCAAGGGGUUUUUUGGGGGAAACAAACCCCAGCUUUUGUCCCGUGUUUCAACUUCCGUGGCCGACAUCAAACGCGUCGCUGCAGCCUGAGCCCCCACAGGCCUGACGGAGGAGCAAAAAGAGAGGGCUGGAGGCAGCAGAUCCUAAUCUUUAUUAAAUAAGAACAAAGCUUAUGCCGGCUAAUGAGAAAAACAAACUGAUGAAAGAUCCGGCGAGCUCCUCAGAAGGACACAAAGAAAUUCUCUCUGAACAAGAGCAUGCUAAAAAUAUGCCCGAAUAUUUAUUUUGCUGGCAGUGGCUUCACAGGCUCCAGAUUCGAUGCUGUCUCUUCAAGGACUGGCACAGUGAUCUGGGAGCAGGGUGCUCCAUCCUGUGCCACAUUCAGAGCUGUGGCAGUGCCAGGAGGUAGACACAGGGCCUAUGUGCCUAUGGAGAUCUUGGGUCUCCAUGCUGCCAGGCCUAUGUGCCACCAGGUGUGUGAGGACAUAAGGGCACUUUGCUAUCUUUUGGAUGCCCCAUUCCUAGAGGUGUUCAAGGCCAGGAUGGAUGGAGCACUGGGCAACCUGGUCUCAUGCCUGUGGUUGACAAGGUUGGAACUGGGUAAUCUUUGAGGUGCUUUCCAACCCGGCCAUUCUGUGAUCGUUUUGUGUUUGCUGUCUGGUGGUCUCAUCUAGGCAGAUCCUACGACGUAUGAAAUUGCCACAUAACACAGCAGGGGGCUGUUCUGAAAUCCCCUCCCCAGCUCCCAGCCUGCUCCACCUGAGCCCUGCACCUCAGCUUUGCCCAAAGCUGGAUGUGACUAAAAACGUCGCUUAUAAAGGCAAAAGCAACGCAGUUCCUCCUCCACCUCUGCUGACCAUGAAACCUCAGCCUCUCCUGUUUUAAUGUCCUGUGCCUGAACUUGCUGCCAGCAGGUCAAGGGGAACAUAAUUUACUCAAGCUUUGAUGCAUUUGAUACAGGUUGGGGUGAGAGGUGGGGGGAAGCUUAAGAGGCUGCCCAGGAUGGGUUGGAAGGUGCCAUAGCCUUCUGCUAACCACGAGGUGCUGCCUGGGGAGGCUCCUCGCAGCGGGUGGGAGGCAGCAGGCAUUUGUCUGCGGGCCUCUUCUUAUCUCCCGCUCUGAUGAGGAGAUUGGGAAGGAGGGGAGGCUCUGCCUGUGCUUGGCGCUGCCUGGAGAGGUUUCCGAGUGCUCAGGAUACAAACCCCAAAACCCUGUGCAUCCCCACUCCUUGCCCCUCUCACUGGAGGCAGUGACCACCCUCAGCCACGUGCUGCUUGGUGUAGGACUUUCUGUAGGUAAAGGAGCUGCAUCCAAUCCUGAAGCAAAGUGGGAGCAGACAGAUUUUGCAAACAGCCCCUCCUGAUGACGUUGCUUUUGGAUCACAUCCUGCACCUCACUAUGAGCACUAGGCCAGAGGCUGGUGCUUCCCAGUACAGGUUGAUCUCCCCCCUCCCCUUUUAUUUUUAUUUUUUAAUUAUUAUUAUUUGGAAGUUUUUGUUUGUUUGUUUUCAGACAGAGGAAACAGAGGAAAAAAAAAACAACACCCCCAGUGAGAAGAGGUGCCCAGGCUCUGCCCUGACCCACUGCUGUUCAGCAGGAGGAAGCAGAGAAGUGUGGCUGCUGUGAUUUUGGUUCUCACUCCACCUCGCUGCCCAGGAGCCAGGCAAGUGGCUUAGGAGAAGAAAGGUCCUCUGAACCAACCUGCUCUGGGGGGGGCUCCCCCCAACCAUACAGAGGGGUUGGAAAUAUGAGGGGGGCCUGGAAAAGCAGGACACCCCCUGCAAGCCCCCACUCUGGUGUAUUGAUAUUCAGUGCAGAGUGAGGGGUGUAAAUUCAGUGCUAUCUCCUCACCGCUCACCGUUUAUGCCGUUCAUUUCACAUAGAUGUCACUACUGCCUUAUAAGCACUCCUCUGAGCCAGCCGCUUAAAUGGACCCAGUGCAUUAUAGUAAUGGAGUAACUGUAUAAAAACAAUGAAAUCCAAUCUCUUUAAACUGAUUUGAUGUCUGCCUGAACCACAACAUUUCCUGCUAAUGGCUUCCUUCAUUUUGUAACCGUGAUCUCCACCUGAUCAGAUUACAGCUGUUUUUAAUUACAAAGCUAAUAGAGUUUGUAGGCAGUGUCGGGAGGAUGGCGCAUGCCCCGGGCAGAGGGGAGUUGGUGGGGGCUUGGGGUGGCUGUGCUGACACUCUGCCUAUGGAGCAGACUGUCACAACACCAGGAUGGGGACAGCUGGGAGGGAUGGGGACAGAAUAGGGAUGUUGGUGCCAUCUGACUGCUGCAGCUGAGGGCAGGAAAAAGCACUGAGGAUGACUGACAAUGGAAAAAGUCCUCAAGAUUGAUGUCUUUCUUAUGGGAUAGCAAAGCCAGCUGCGGGGUUGGAUUCCUCUACCUCAGCCUGGAUGGUGGAGCCCUGGGGAACAUCUGUGUGGCUCAACCUGAUCCCCAAAGGGCUUGUUUUGUCUGGCAGUUUGUUUGUUGAUUGUUCCAGUUCUGUAGGUUAGAAGCACAGAGUGGAGUAGCUGUGGGGAGAGAAGCAGUUUGAAAUCUGUUCCCAAAUGAUGAUUGCUGGGAUGUUUGAUGCCCAGAAAACACUGUGGUGUGUUAGAGAUGCUUCUGAAUAGCCCAUGCUGGUGUUUAGGAUUCAGCUGAUGUUGGGCUCAGGUGAAAAAUGUCAGCAGCGAAGGAGAGCAGCUUCUCCAGCUCAUAGCCAAGUCCUGCGGUGAGAAUCUCCCAUUUGGGAUGCUCCAGUUGCUCACGUGCCCACCAAGACACAGCAGUGAGCAAUCCACUCCCAGCAGCUGAUGCAAGGGGAGGACAAGGCAGGAGGAACCCCAGAGCCCCAUGAGGAAGUUCAUGCUGCUGAGACCUGCUUUGGAGCUGCUCCCACCAACUGCUUCAUCACACUGCUGAGGAUACUCAUCCUCCACUGCCUUGGUGCAGGAGCUGCUUAUGCCAGGUGAGGCCUUGUAAAUGAUUUAGGGUCCACAUCAAGAGCGCAUCAAUUACAUACCCUGAGACCUAAUUAUUUCGCUUGACAGGAGUCUCUCUCCUUAAUUUCAUUGUCUUCUCGGUCUCCCCUUUCACAUCAGGGCUGUGGAUGAUCUGCUGGGCAGUGUGUCUCAUUGUGUUUUCUUCUCCUUCCCAGUACUGCCCAAACUCAGCUGUUUUCCCUUUCCCUUAGCAAAAAUGAGCCCUGGACACUGUGCUGAGGCCAGUGACACCAACACGAACUGCCAAAACACCAAACACUGAGAGCCAGUCCUGCCCGGGUGAGCAGAGUGUGGGGAUGUACCAUGUCCUCCCCAUAACUCGGCACUCUGAGGUUAGCGAGAGUGUUCUCAGAGCAAACCCCAUCCUACAUGAGUCGUUGCUGGUGAGACCCAACUGCGUGCACUGUGCUGUGGAGCAGGAUCAGCCCUGCCAUCCAGACUCUGCCUGUGCCCAAUGCACCAAACUGUGCGUUUGAGGAAGUACUUCUGGAGUUUGAAAAGGUCCGGAUGAAUUAAAGAAGAGGAGAAAAACGAGAGAAAAAAAGAAAGGAAGAAGUAGGGAACGAUUAAAAGGCACAAAUAAAUAAAUAACACACACCAGAUUUCAGCUCCGAGGCGCUCAAUAAAAUUACACUUUGAAAUGCAAGGAUUAAGCAGGCAGGGGGAGCUGGAAGAAGUGGGGAAAGCCCUGAUAUCUUUCAGAAGCUGUGUUGGGAGAGAGACUGGACCAGUCUGAAGGCCACCAUAGUCAAAGCCCAGCAGCACAGCUUGAGAAGCUUGAGACACAAGCAUCCCACACACAGGUAAGCAACUCCAUGGAAGCCUCACAUGGGUCAGGUUUACCCAAUUUUCUGGUGAGAGCAAAACGUCACCCCUGCUGCCAAAACCCCAGUUCAAAACAAAAACCAAGGGGAACAUCCAGGUAUUCCAGAUCACAGUGGCACCAAGGGUAAAUCACAGCAAGCCAACCAGCCACGUUAUUGGAUUACCUUUCCCCUAAGAUUUGCCUUUUAUCUUACUUAGCGAGGCAAAGCAUCUCAGAUGGAAAAUUUGGUUGGAGUAUUGGUUUUGACUUCCUUUUUCACAGCCGAUGCACACAAUGUAUGCACAUAUCUCACUGCACGUUUGAUAAAUUCAGCAGCAGCUUUACAGAGUUGGCUCUAUUAGAACAGCUGAUGACAUGAGCUAAAAUGACCGGGAAUUAACAUCCAGAAGUGGAUGUAAAAUUAUCAGACUUCAAGAAACUCAAGAGAAAUCCUGUCCUGUAAAACAGUGGUGCAUUGUUCCUAAAAGGCAUCUCUUUUCUCAUCGCCCUUCAUUCUUCACCCCACCCCCUUCUUUCUCUCAUUUGAAACUCAAAUUUACCUCUGUUCAAUUCCCGCUCUGUUGCUCACAGCAUCUUUUAUUUUCAUAGUAGCUUGGCCAUGCAGAUUUUGAGACUAAGACCUCAGAAGACACACACCUUGUUAUAAUGUUGUAUCUGGGUUUUGGCUUGCAUGGGUGCUGCGCUGAACCAGCUCAGUUUACUCAGCAGCAAAUAAUAACAACAAAGUCAUUUAUAAAGUCAUUUUUGGUUGGGUUAGUUUUAUGCCAGCCCAACACAUGGAGGCAAUUCUUUGCAGGGUCAAAUGAAGAAAUAGGGUGGAAAGCAGGGAUAAUGGAGGACAGUUUGUUAAUGUUGGUAUAUGUAUCUCAUUUGUGUUUUUGUGCUGAUUCUUGCUCAAGGCAUUGACCUGACCGUGGUGGUUAACAACAGCUCUUCAUUUAGUCCUAUCCUAAAACAGACUUAUGUGGCUUCUGUAUUUUAAAGGCAAUUUAAUUCAGAUCUUCUCUAAGCAGGACUAUUUUGAUGGAGCAGGAGAAGUGAUGACACAAAUAGCUGAUGACAUGAAUAGUUCUGCUGGCAGAGCGGCAGAGGUGGCAACCUCUGGAUGGGAGCCAUGAGCCACAGCUGCAGACAGGCACCUCUCCAUGGAGCUGGAACAGGAUGCACAGCCCAGGGCUCCUGUCACCAUCCCACCAGGUCAAUGGAAAGGGCUGGAGCAAGUGAAAACUACUCCGAAUGUCUGCUCAUAAAACCAAAGGGAGCAAUUAUUAUUAAUGUAAUUAUUGCUGCAGUUUGAAAAUAUUCACCUCAUCCUUUGCCAUUCUGCUAUUUCUCUUGAUCUAGCACCCGGUUCAAUUCCCAUCCCAGAGAAAAGCAGAAAUGUCAGGAUACCACAAGUUGGUCUCUGUAGCUUUUCAGGCCAGGUAGAAGCAGAAGUAGUGGGGAUUUCUCAUGAAUUAUCCACCCUGUUUCUAAAAGUGUGUCUGUACAGUUGCUCGAGUGCCUCAGCCUCAGAUACUGCAAGGCACCAGCAGCAGCGUUUCUGGCUGUGAUUUGGCUGCAGUGUCGCAGAUGCCUUGGAUACCAUGAGCUCUUCAGGGAUGAAGCCUGCAUGUAUUACUCUGGGUCCAACUGAGCAUUUACUGGAAAAGAGAAGGCAAUGCAAAGGGGGAGCACCCUAUGUGACUCAGGGCUGAGCAAGGCCAAGCGGUGCUGUGUGACAGUAAUUCCCAGCCAUUAUUGCAGCCCUCAGGAGAUCUGCUGCAAACUGGAAUAGUUUGUAACAGCCCUGAGGGACCAGGGCCAGAGCAAGGGAGAUAGCAGCCAGCUUUGUUCCCCUCACAGGCCUGAAGCUCAGCAUGACUUGGAAAGCAGAGGAUUUGUGUGUUCUUCUCUCUGGGAAAUAGGAAUCCAAGGAUGCCAACAGACUGGGACUCUUCUUCUGUUGGAAAGUGCAAACUAGGAGCGCUGCACAGCUGGGCUAUCUGUUGCCCUUAAUCCAGCAGUUGCUUCUGAUCCUUCUUCUUCUGCUCCUUCUGAAUGGACUCCUCACUUUAGUGGAGUAAUGGUGUUGUAAUGGCGUUUUCAUUCAGGGCUGCAGGGGCAGGAGGGAAACACAGCCACCCACCUACCCCUGCAACCAUGCAGGGCCAUCUCUUUGAUGCAAAGCCCCUUUGGCCCUAUGCUCCCAUGUGAGGCAGCUCCCCUCUUUUUGCAUUUCAAUCACACGCAUCUAAAUCCAGUCAUCUGGGAAUCUUAUCAGAAACUCACGUAAAGGAGUCCUCUCUGCUGUGUAAUUACAGGGCCCCACCAAGCGGGUCCUUAAACACUUUGUGAGUCAGCUGAUGGGGACGUGGCCUCAGGUACCCAACCCUCCAGCAAUGAAGGCCAUCAUCAUUAGCUAACCUCCUCCAGGGCCGGUAUGUGGCAAGCACUGGAAUUCACCACUUUUCUUUGUCAGCCUUUGACAACUACUUGCUUGAUAUAAUUACUUUCAGUGUUAGGCUCUGACUAAUCGCAUGGCAAUGGCCAGGUUUAUAAUGCAACAGUGUGUAGCCUGGAGCAAAUUCUGACAUAAUUACACUGUAUAAAUUCCCCCAUUAGAAAUGACACUGCAUUGGCAUUGUGUACAAAGCAGCCAUGGUCCAGUCAACUGGCUCUGUGAAAAUCUGUCUGACAAUUGUUUACCCUGUUGGUAUCUUAUUGACACUUCAUACAAUGAUGAAACUGUUACAUGACAGUGAAUGGGAGCCAGAGGCCUGGACGAAUCUCCCAUUUCCUCUCUCUUCUUUCAAGUGUGGUCAUUUUCUUGCCUGGUUUACUCUGCAUGACAGCUUGCCCGCUUCUGAUGGCUCUGAAACAGAAAGAAUAGCCAAUGGUUGCAGCACAAAUCACAGAAGCCUAUAGAAAUCUGCUUGGGGUUGCAUCAUCUGCCCAAAGGAGUCUUUGAAGGAUGAUCAUGGCCAUAUUCAGCCCCAUGGCGCAGCACACUGUGGUAAAGUUGGCUGUGAAAACAAAGGCUUGAGGCAUGCUGCAAGGGCAGCUUUGUCACCUGCCUAAGCCAAGCAUAUAUGUAACUUAAAAUAGGAAGGCUGUGCUAGAAACACGUCUUAAACAGCAGGUCUGCAAGUGGCAGAGUAGCACCAAAUGUUGAUACACUGUGGGGUUGGAGGAGGAGGUUUCCAGUCUCCCUCUAGCCUGAGACACCUGAGAGCAUCUGAAGUGGUGGGAAUGGGAUCCGGAGCCUUUCCAGGUCUUUAGUUUCAAGCUGGCUCCAGAGACUUCCAACAUGGGCAGACUUAGAGAAGCCAAAAAUGGAGUUUUGAGUUAGAGCCGAGAAAGAGGGAGAAGCUGAAUACCUGUCCUUGUCAGUGUUCCUCGCAGUAUGUUGUCUAUACCAGUCGAUUUAUGAAACCUCAAGAGUUUGAAUGUCUUUAUUUCCCUAUGAAACAGAGUGUUCUUUAAAGGAGCUGUUGUCAUGUCCAUUUGGAAACUAUUUGGUAUUCGUGCAAUAUAAGCAACAUCGGAAGCAUCUGUCCAUUUUCACCAGGUAAGAGUCAAACCCAUUAACCAGACCUGGAGCAAUAACCCACCUCUUUUGUUUUCAGUAUCAUCAGGAAAGCUGUGAUCUGGAUGAGUCAUUCAAUCUCCUACCUGAGUGUUUGCAGAUAGUUCUGCCUUCUGCCAGCUUGCCCUUCAAAGCUGUGGGUCCAUCUGCUCAGCCUGACUCCAACGUGCACCAUUAACAACCAGGUUGGCGGGCUGGGCCAAAUUUUGACCACUGAGCCGUAGCUGUUGCUGGUGUGAAGAUCUUGGCUGUUCCUCGCAGAGCCAUGUGAUUUAAUAGCGGUAAAAGCAACUGUUGCAUGAAAAAUUGAACCAGCCUAUGCCACGCUGAGUGCUGAACAUUGCUGCCAUUCAGGAUAAUACUGGGGAAAGAGUAAACCGACCAGUCAUGUUCUGAAGGAUGGCCUACUUCUCAGUGAGACUUUGUGCCAGAUGGCAUUUGGGGCCAAGCAUCUUGGCAUCUUUCAGCCAAAGGAAUUGCUCUGCACUUCACCUUCAAGCCUGUGCUUGUGCCACAGCUUUGGCAAUGUUUUCUGCUCAACGCUCCGAUAUCUAGAAUGGCAAUGGAAAGCAUGGAGCCCAAAAGGGAGAAGCAUCCCAUCAUCUGUGUGAGUGACUUGGGAAUGUAAAGUGAAGGAGGUGGAGGGCAGAGUUCCCACCCGGAAAGGAUUUUCAAGAUUUGAAAAAAUCAAAACAGCCCUCGGUGUUCCCCUUAUCUAUCAAUUAAAAUCAAACUAGUUUAUCAAGAUAAUAUCAUGCCACACAGGCUGACUGCAGUAUUAGUGAUUUUGUCUGUGGUGUAAGAAAUCCAGAUUCAGAUGCUUCACGUGCCAUCACCAAUGUGUACUUGGGCUGUUGGCUGCUGUGUUUGUGUUCCUAGAUCUCAUGUUGUCACUGCUAGUUCUAAGCUUGCAUUGAACCUCCAGCAGGUCAGACCUUGUUGGUCUGUGAUGAGACACAGCAUUUGUGCAUGACAGCACAGCUUUUAUAUUGCACAGGCUCCUAAAGAUGUUGUUCUAAUGAUGGGAUAAAACAACUGCUGCCUCCCUGAAUCGCUCCGUGUGCUGAAGACAGAGGGAUGCAAGUGAGGGCUGUUCCCAGGGUGGGUGCUGGGAACACAGUGUGAGAGCAUGCAGUGCUGUGCAGAAACACAGCUUAAGGUCAGACUCAGCUCUAAAGCUUCCCCAGAAUCCCAAAUCCUCUUUUUAUAUGAGUUCUACCAAAUACAAACAAUUAAAGAAUUUCAUCUUCUCCUACUAUGGUGGAAAAGCCUGAAUGCUUCUCUAAACUUUAUUAAAAAGCUUCAGUGUGUUCCCUAGGUGAGGGUCCUGCUUGGCUUCUGAGAGCCCAUAUCUUUGUGUUUGGUGCGAAUGAAUCAGUCACUGAUGCCAGUUGGCAGUGGGGAAGAGAAAUAACACAGCCCAUUGCAAAGAGGAAAAAAAAGCAGCUAUAAGCCUCAUGUCUGCCAUUUGACAAGGACCCCAGUCAAUGGCAGCUUUACAGAGACCUCCACGAGGGCUAUUGCACAUCCCUGCUAUCUGCCUCCACUUAUGUUCUUCUCCUAGGGAUUACACCAGUGCCAGGUUUCAAGCCUAAGCACCAUACAUUCCAGUGCCAGCCUGGAGCACAGGGAGAAGCAUUUUCUAGCUUCAGUUUUGGAAUGUACCCCACUGGUAGCAACAGGCUGGUGGGACAGGCAGGAACCUUCCCCUGGGCCAGGUCUCUCUGGCGGGCAGCAGCUCUCUCAUCACCAGGGGUUUGUCAAAGCGUGCGGUAUGCUAACAUCCUGCCAGCUCACCUUUCGUAAGCUGAGUCAAAAGCAUUAUUCCCACCAGUGCAAACACGGCGUCUGCCACAUGUCUGCUGGUUUCUCCCCACUGCACUGAGGCAAAGCAGCCCUUCCUUGUCAGUCAUUGACCAAAAGCUGUUGAUUCUGGAACGACUGACUGCACUGGUUGUAAGGGAUGCCAAAAACCCCUGAAAGCUGGGAGGCAAAGGUGUUUUCUUUUUAAAUGAAUUAAGCUGUAGAAGGAAUUUCCCUGAGAGCUUGUUUGAUAUCUGGAAUAGAAAUGGCUUUCCGUCUCCAUCUCCACCUACUCAGCACUCAGAGCCGUAUCCAGAGAGCCUGCAGACACAUCUGCCCUCUCCUCUGUGUCACAGCUCCUCUGCAUUUUGUCAACUGCUGACAAACAUUCCAGCUAGAAUACCUUUGCUGAGCUCCUGGAUGGGAAAAAUAAAGAGGAUUUACCUGAGUCCAACCCAUCUGCAUGUAGUAAGUGAUGCACGGGUUGAAAUUGGGGUAUUAGGGGGAAUGCAGAGCUACAGGCGCAGUGUUCCAAGCUUCCCACUGGGAUUAGGGAACAUAAGCACUGCUGGGGAGAAAGAAAACAGGAGGGUUCAGAUCAUGGAGAACGGAGCAGAUGCAAACAUGUGACACACAACUGAGAAGCAGUGCUCCAAGAGAGGCAAAUUUCCCCCAGCUGUGCCUGGAGUGGGUGGGUUGUGCUUUUCCUGUGCCUGGGCCGGUUGACAGCAGCUGCCACAAUGGGAUUUCCUUCAUCUUGGUGUUAAGGAGCUUCACUUUGUGCAGCUUGAAGUUUAUCUAGGUAAAAGUGAUUUUAUUAACAAACAGCUGACCUCGGGUUCAAGCUCUGAGUGGCAAUUUGAAUCUCUCCCAGGGUUAAAUAAAUUGAAGCCACCACAUUUGAAGUAAAAAGUUGCCAAGCUGCCUCUUUGUUGUGAAAUUCCAACAGGAGAAAUGUGUUUUCGAGGCACUCUGAUGCAUUUCAGGUUCAUUUUGGGGCUCGGCAUUUCAUGGCAGCUGGUUCUCUGAUUAUUUUCUAUUAAGGACCAACUUCCAGUAACAUCAGUGGGAGCAGGAUUUCAGCUCUAAAUCUAUUAUUAACUAAUACAGCACAACAAUGCCUGGCUUUUGUUCUGUUUUGUUUUCUCCCAGGGUCGGAACGUGUGUGUAUCCCAUUAACUCUGUCCUCGCUGCUCUCAAGAUGUCCCACACAAAUGAUUUUUUUUUUUUUUUUUUUGUAAGAAAAUAUAUUUUACUAGGCAGUUUUAUGAGAGCUGACAAAAUGCCUCAUAAAUAACCCAGCAGGAAAUAUGGGGUAAAUAAAAUUUUUACAACUUUAUCAUAAACCUGAGAAGUCUUUGGUUCCUUUUCGAAUGGAAUGAGCGAGGUAUUUCAUUAAAGGAAAAGACAUGCUCUCUAAAGCCCAACAAUUACAGACACAAUGCCUUUUUAACCUGCAAUUCAGUCAAACAGGUUUGGUGGCAGUGGAAAAUGUAAAAGGCCUUGUUUUGGCCCUGUUUUGACACUUUGGGUCACGCUCCCCCAUGGGUCGGUUUGUGCCCUGGGUUCAGGCAGGCUGCAGUUUUGCACAGGGGGAUGCGAUCAGGGCCCUGAGUGCAGGGGGGAAUAUAAACAAUUAUGGCCCUCAGGUCUUCAGCACAAGCCUGCAAUGCGAUGAGUUGGUCAAAGACCAAGUGUCUGAAAUAGAAACGCUUGGAACAACCCUCAGUCCCCGAACUUUGCAUGAAGGGGGAAUUCAGCUCUCAGCGGGAGCAUCUUUGACACGUGAUACUUUGGUACUGUGGGAAGAUGGGAGGGGGUGCCACUUUUAUGUCCUUUGCGCUUGGAAGAAUUCAUACUGACAGCCACGACUGUUUUCUACUUAAUGGUGAAAACAGAAAUCUGGCAAAAUACAACCUGGGUUGUAUGUACGGGUGUAUAAGAAGUAUGGAAACUGCCUUCCAAAGGAAGUGACGAAAUGCCACUGUAUGCCUGACUGAUCUGAUGAAAUACCAGACAAAACAAUCUGGAGUGAAGCAAGGCCCUUAGCCUUUCUCACACCUCUGAUCCUCUGCUCUACCUCACUUGUGUUUCUGUGUUAGCUGAAAACAGGAUCAGCAGAACUGGAACUGUUCAGACCCACACGUUACCUUCCCUGUGCUGUGAGUGGAGCUCUCAGGCCCAACAGAGGAAGAGCAGAGUGAACUCCGCCACCGUGGCCUCACCUUGCUGGCACCGCAGGUUGUUCCACUAUGACUCCCACCUCUCCUUCAGGGCCCGAUUGCAUAAAGCCCACCACCUUCCCUUCCAGGCACUCUUGCAUUCCCCUGUGCUCCCAUCCCUCUGGGCUUACCCACCCACCCUCAGAUCACACGGGUCCUUAGGACAUCUACAGCAACUUCCUACAGGCAUGUCACAUCAGGAAGAUAUUUAAAGCCUUUGUAGAUCUAAUGCUUUCUAAAUAGGAGGUAAGCUCACCCCACACUACCACUCCAGAGUGCUUUUGAUGUCAAUUUCUUUUAUGAGCACUUUGGGAAUGGGGCACUUUGGGGAUAGCUGCUCCCUGCACCAACAGGUCUGCAGUCCCCCUUGCCUGAUCACACACUGUGCUCAGAGCUGACACUGCAGCCAAGUCAGGGUGUCCCUGGGAGCUUUGCCUGUAUAAGGGCUCCAGGCUCUGGCACGUUGUCUGGAAAGCACUGUGUAAAUAGGAGAGACAAUUAUUGCAACCCUUUCCCAAAAGGAAAUUCCAUAUUGGCACCGAACGGGGCGUUGUAUGGCAGAGCACAGCCCCGACAGAGCAAGCUGCCCUGGCAGCAACUGAGAGCACGCUGAGGGAAAUUGGCUUUUUGGUGGGACAUGUGCUUUAGUGAAAGCCCAUAUGUUACAGAGUUAUCUGCUGUGAAUCCCCCAGCAUUAUCCCCACGCCUCUGUCACCGCCCCCCUGCCUCAGCC